CCGAGUUUACAACUCCCAAACCCCUGUGAAACAUACCACUUGUUGCCUCGGCGGAUCAGCCCGCUCCCGGUAAAACGGGACGGCCCCGCCAGAGGACCCCUAAACUCUGUUUCUAUAUGUAACUUCUGAGUAAAAACCAUAAAUAAAUCAA
Molecule: unclassified non-coding RNA, 151 nt
Filed under: soil metagenome
Description: partial internal transcribed spacer 1
Source: RNAcentral